This is a non-coding RNA of Alligator sinensis (Chinese alligator), 82 nucleotides long. Lineage: Eukaryota; Metazoa; Chordata; Crocodylia; Alligatoridae. The record is from the annotation of a RefSeq genome assembly.
GUAGUCAUGGCUGAGUGGUUAAGGUGAUGGACUAGAGCUUCAUUGGGGUCUCCCCGUGCAGGUUCAAAUCCUGCUGACUAUG